Molecule: ribosomal RNA, 214 nt
Filed under: Characidium pellucidum
Lineage: Eukaryota; Metazoa; Chordata; Actinopteri; Characiformes; Crenuchidae
Description: partial small subunit ribosomal RNA
Source: RNAcentral
GGUAAAUMUCGUGCCAGCCWCCGCKGWUAUACGAGAGACCCUAGUUGAUACUUACGGCGUAAAGAGUGGUUAGAAACAAAUACUAAAACUAAAGCCAAAGACCUUCCAAGCCGUCGUACGCACCCCGGAGAUACGAAGCCCAAAAACGAAAGUAGCUUUAUCUAUGAGCCGACCCCACGAAAGCUAAAAAACAAACUAGGAUUAGAUACCCCAC